GUUAUACUCAGCCUUGUAAGUUGGUGGUCUGUUGAUGUCUUUCUAGUGGUGUGGGGGCUGUGCUUUGGAAAAGUGGGUGGGGUUAUAUCCUGCCUGGUUUACCCUGUCCAGCAGUAUCGUCGGACGGGGCCACAGUGUCUCCCGACCCAUCCCUGUCUCAUUCUCCAGUAUCUAUGCUGCAAUAGACUUUGUGCCGGGGGACUAGGGCAGACGCCAAUACCAGUAUGGCAGAAUUCAUCAAGCAGACGGUGUUGGACGAAGCCCCAGUAAAAGGGGAUAAAAAGGUUGAGGUCCAUGUGAUUAAAAUAAGAAACCAACAUCACACAAUUCCUGAAAAAAACACCUGGAGGACCUAAACCAAAGGCUUUCUGGUAGUUUCCGAAACAUGCCACACACAAAAGAAAUGAAAAAGGGAACCUGAAUGUGGUUAAUUGCUUGUGGGGAAAUCCCAUGCACUCAAAACAGUUACACAACAACCAAAUAAGUUAUGAUCAGAUGGCUUUUCAUAAAGUAAAGAAAUAAAAGUAUGUGAGAAUAGGGUUUGCCUACAAAAUAAGGGCCGCCCAUAUGUGUUGGUAUUGUAGUUUAGCAUCCUGAUGGUGAAGGGAAAUUGUAACGCUACAGCUGUCACGCUCUGACCUAGGAGAGCUGUGUUUUCUCUGUUUAGCUAGGCCAGGGUGUGAUAGGUGGGUGGACAUUCUGUGUUUUGUUUUCUAUGUUUUGGCCGGGUAUGGUUUCCAAUCAGAGGCAGGUGUCUAUCGUUGUCUCUGAUUGGAAGCCAUACUUAGGCAGCCUGUUUUUCCUUUGGUUUUUGUGGGUAGCUGCUUUCUGAUUUGUUGUAAGUACCUGAC
This 851-nucleotide long non-coding RNA is filed under the name Salmo salar (Atlantic salmon). RNAcentral's name for it is "lncRNA (ENSSSAG00000087347.1)". The record is from RNAcentral. Lineage: Eukaryota; Metazoa; Chordata; Actinopteri; Salmoniformes; Salmonidae.